AUGAUUCAGGGUUAGCUCGAUUCGGUUGAACUCAGACGGUUUCGAUUCAAAACAGCACGGUUCGGUUAUUUUCGAUUCAGUUCAUGUUAGGUCCAAUUUAUCUAAUGACACCACAAAAAUUAACAAUUUUAAUGAGUAGCAUAUUUGAUUUGAUUUAAUUCAAGUUAUAUAACUAUAUGUUGUCAUUUGUAAACAUCAUAUCUAUUCAUAAUGGCAUUUUAUAACUUUGAUAAAAAAAAACAAAAACAAAAACAGACAGUCUAUCAAAAUUUGUUAUAUUAAUGUGCUGCAUAAGUUUUGGAUUAUUAAACAAAUCUAUAGUGAAUCUAAAAUGUAUAUGAUAUUGUUUUCAUUGAUAUGUAAAAAUUCAACAAUUCUAUCAAAAUGCUAUAUGUCAUGUAAAGAUAAACUGCAAUGAUCUUACGGACCAUAUUCUGUUGGUAUCUGAGUGGUGAAAAUGCUAACUCUUAACACAGUAGUGAUUUAAAUCUCUCCUGCAUAAAAAAACACGUUUUCAACAUCACGCAUUAUGAAAGAUCCAGGAUAUCUGCACGUGAAGUUUGUACGUCCUUUUUUGUCAGUAUUCAGUCAUUCAUAAUUAAUAAUGUUAGAUAUCUGUUGCAUUUGUCUUUGAAUCAAAUAAAAUGAUGAUAAUACAUAUAUAUUCCUAUCCUUUAUCACGCGAAGUCCGAUUUUCAUUUCCCUGACUUUAUUUUUGAUCACUGAAAAUUGAAUUAAAAAAAAUUAACAGAAAAGUAAGGCAAGUGUAUAGUUUGCAAUAAAAAUGUUUCAUAUACCUUUUCUAUAUAUUGUUGAAAUACUUGAAAAUGCUGAAAUGAAUAAUUUUUUGCGGCCGAUUUGAUGCUUUGCAUCAAUUUAACUUGUUUACAUUUUUUUACACAUGUAUGUAUCUAUUUAUUUCUCUGUCGAUGUAAUUAAAAAUUGUUUAUUAGUGUAUAUAAUAAAUCCGCCAAUCUACAUCUAUCUAUAUGGGUCGUUAUCAAUGUAGAAGAGAAAAAGAUAUGUCAAAAUUAUUGCUAAUAAAGUAAUGAAAAUAUUACAGUGUAGAACGUGACAAUUUUUCUAAUCGGUCUAGAAAUUUCUCAUAUGAUUCAGACACUGUACCUAGGAAAGUACAUAUUGAAUACAUUAACGCUACAAAUAUCAAUUUCAUCUUCUUACGGCAAGCCCUGUGCCAUACGUGUAGUAGUAUUAUCAGGGACGUCGACGUCCCUGAUUAUAUGAAGAAAUUAAAUAGGGCCAAAAUAAAAAUAUUGUUUGUUUCCCCUCGCCCGACCGAGUCUGAAAAUUCACACCGACCCAUAAGUUUUUAUUACGCCAUUCUGGUGAAGUUUUUUUUUUAAUUUUAAGAAAAAUUCAAGGUCGUUUCUGGUGCAGAUCAGUAUUUUAUAAUGACAAAAAUUUUCUAUAUCUUAUUUGGUUUCAAUCCAAAAUUAAAAAAUAAUAAUACGAAUACAGGAGGUGUUCUGGUCCGAAAUCUAGAAAUUUCGCCCCCUCCAGCUGGAGGCGGCAUUCUCUGGUUGAUUUCAAAUACUUACAAGCCGAAUUCAAUUUUAAGCUCAUAACUAAUCAAUAAAACGAUUCUUCUUGUACUUACUAAUAUCGAUUUUAUGGGUUCUUUCAUCACAUAAACAGUCUCUUGAAAACAUUUUAUCAAACUGUCGAGCUUGGUUUUGAGUCACGAGACUCGUUUGCUCAAAUGGCAGUGAAAAUUCGGUUGACUACAAUUGUUGGCUUCUGUUUAAUAUCGAAUUUUGGAUUGAUAUUUUCUUUUAAUCGAUAUUAAUAAGUACAAGAAUCAUGAUUGUUUUAUUGAUUAGUUACAAGUGAGUUUAACAUUGAACUCGGCUCGCAAUUCGGACUAGUGAUUUGCAAGAUCGAGAUGGAGAAAUGUUGUCUAUACGAGGAGCGUGGAAACAAGAGAAUUCGGGGCAAUCCAGUGUGCAAGUUGUAUUCUUCAGCAGGGGAAAGUGUUGAUAUUUCGGACGGAUGCGAUAUUUUUGACAGUCAAUCAGAAGCAUUCUCAAUUUAACUUAUUUCUGAACUAAUGCUAUAUUUACAAACUGGAAAACACCUAAUUAUAUGCACAUGUGUAACUCAGCUCUGAUUGGUUGAUGUCAGCAUCCAUUUUGUUUGAUCGGCAAAAUCAAGUCUCGUUGAAACGUUUUCUGGUAAACUAGAUCUACCGAUAUCAUUUAAAAAUAUAAUCAAAAUCACUAUCAUAUAUAAAUUAAGAUAAUGUGCAAAAAACAAAAGCAUAAAAUGUCAGUGAACCAUAAAUAAAAGACAGCAACCGAGUUUACCAAUUUUAUAACACCAUGUGUCCAAAACUAACACCAUUGUCCAUAGUUGCAACAUUCUCCCUAACUUUAUUUAAGUGUUAGUAUGUGGUAUAAAUAGCAGAGAAAAUUCUGAUGAAACCCAAUGUUCGUCGAAUCAACCAAUAUGUAUACAUGUAGUCCAAUGCCUAAGUUUAGUGGUUAGAUAAUGAGCAUUUCCAAAAUACAUGAGUACUGUCCGAAAUAUCGACACCUUCCCUAAUUGCAAAACGUGGCAAUCAAAGCAGAAUUUACGCGAGAACUGACUAUACGAGUUUGAUGAGGAAACAUGGAUAAUGUGCUUCACGACCUUUGGUAUCGGGCAUUGUUAAUGGUUAUGGGAAUUUCAUAAUAAAUAAAAUUCUGCUAGCUAAAAAAAAUAAAAACUUUUUACCUACCUACCGACCUUCCUCUGAAAUUUAGGGUCGGGAGAGGGGAAACAAACAUAUUUUUAAAUGUGGCCUAGGCUACUUGUAAGUACUAUUACAGUAUUGUAGUUAACUUCACCCUUGAAUUUAAAAGAAUUGAUUGAAACAGAAAUUCCGUUAAAACAACGAAAUGCCCCUUGGUUCACUCUUUAAAAGUCUGCAAGUGAAAUAUACAUCCACAGUACACAGGACUGGCUGCAGAAGCAUGCAUGCAAAAUCCGUGCAGUGAUCUGACGUCUAUUUCUGUUAACAGUUCACAGUAUAAAACGAAUUUUUAUGCAUAAUUCAGUCAAAACUUGGGUACUUGUUGAUAACAUACAUACACAUAUAUGCACUGAAACAAUGUGACAUUUACGGAAAGUAAUUUUAAAAAAAAAAGAAUAUCAAAGAUGUUUUAAGCAUCUCGGUGAUUUUCACAGUUGAUAACCCAGCUUCGUGAUGUUUGAGGAUAAUGCUUCGAAUAGCCAGCGAUAGUCUACGACCUCCUUUCCCAUCGGGCGCCAUUGUGAAAAUAAUAUACUGUGGCUGAAAAAGUGGGUCACGUGACAUAAAUUGCACGCUUUCUGCACGGUACGGUACGCUUUCGGGCUUUUGGGGGCGGGGUUUGCAUAAUAUUAUCCUGCACGCUUUCUGCACGGUACGGUACGCUUUUUGAACGAUACGGUUCGUUUCUUGAACGGGACGGUACGUUUCUUGAACGGUACGGUUCGUUUCUUGCACGGAACGGUUCGGUUCGUUUUUAAGGUGUAGUAGCACAUUUCAGGGUCUGUAACAUAUAAGUAUGUUUUUGGUUUUGGGUAAAUUCUUAAUAUCCUCAUUAAACCCAAUGUAUAAAAGUAAAAUGGAGCUGAAAAAUUGCCAAACACCUUUUAUUCAGCUCUCAGGAAUGUGUACUGAUAAUAAAAUAUAUUUCUUUUUUUUUUUAAAUUGUUUUCACUUUAGAAAAAAAAAAUCAAAGUCCAUGAACCAACUUUUUUUCCAUUGAAAAAUGUUACAUAAAUUUUCUUAGGAUCUUUAAAUGAUAGAUUAGAGAUUUAAUAAGCUUAGAGGCAUAUGAUAAGUAUGUUUUUGAAUAAUAUGAUUGUGUUAUAUAAUGCUCUGAAAAUAACAUAAAUGCCACCCUUGAAACGAAUUAGAAAAUACAUUACUGAAAUUAAUAUUACGUUCGUAGCCUGUCGUGUCCGAAAAUGAAGAAAAAAUAUGAUGCCUCUUAAUAUUUCAUGACGAGAAUUUAUUUACUGUAUCACGUGUUGUUUGCAUAUUUCAUGUCGUUAUUAACUCAGUAAAUGAAUACCAAGCCAAUUGUGAUUGUGUUACUUAUUUUAUUUUUCAAACGAUUUUCAUGGUUACUUUUGGAGUCCGAUUCGUUACGAACAUAAAUCACCUGGUUGCUAGUACGAUUGAGAUUCACAUGAUGUAUUUCGAUUUCUAUUCUAUUACGUCACCGAUGCUGAACUCCCUAUGUGUAAUUGAACUCGCCCACAGAUUUGCAUUGUGGGAUAGCGAUGGCGGUAAAUACAGUGUCCACAAAACGAUGAUUUCGUUACGAACAUGAUUCGUCGUUAACUGAUGCAGAAAAAUUCAUCAAGGAAGUUUGUGGGGGUGAAUACCUUCUCCAAUUUAUGCUGCGGAAAGCAGACAGAUUAUAUUGGCCCCCUGUGGAUGAAUUCUCUUGGGAGCCAUAUGAUAACAUACAUCGACUUUUGCCAAUACCUGUUUCGUCCAAUUAAGCAGUCUUCCUCUGGAAGACAAUUAUUUUAAUUUUGAAACAUUCACACUCGCUCAUGCUAUUCAAAAUUCAUAUUGAUGUUGCAUUGAAAUAAAUGUUUUCCUUAGCGCUGAAAAAA
Ostrea edulis (European flat oyster) is the source of this 4614-nucleotide long non-coding RNA. RefSeq lists it as uncharacterized. The transcript is spliced from 2 exons. The record is from RefSeq and is a predicted model, not a curated record. Lineage: Eukaryota; Metazoa; Mollusca; Bivalvia; Ostreida; Ostreidae.